Molecule: small nucleolar RNA, 115 nt
Filed under: Cavia aperea (Brazilian guinea pig)
Lineage: Eukaryota; Metazoa; Chordata; Mammalia; Rodentia; Caviidae
Description: U8 small nucleolar RNA (ENSCAPG00000003675.1)
Source: RNAcentral
UCUCAAGUUCCUUAAAAAUCCUUCACUGAGAAGAUGGUGAUUGGACUUUGUGUGCCAUGUCAUCAAUGUCUCUGCACAAUCAGGGCUUGAAAUACCCUAACUGCUCCUAUCCCAU